Molecule: ribosomal RNA, 433 nt
Filed under: uncultured bacterium
Lineage: Bacteria
Description: partial 16S ribosomal RNA
Rfam family: Bacterial small subunit ribosomal RNA
Source: RNAcentral
AACGAACGCUGGCGGCAUGCCUAACACAUGCAAGUCGAACGAGACCUUCGGGUCUAGUGGCGCACGGGUGCGUAACGCGUUGGAACCUGCCCUUAGGUUCGGAAUAACUCCCCUAAAGGGGUGCUAAUACCGGAUAAUGUCUUCGGACCAAAGAUUUAUCGCCUUUGGAUGGGCCCGCGUUUGAUUAGCUAGUUGGUAGGGUAAAAGCCUACCAAGGCGACGAUCCAUAGCUGGUCUGAGAGGAUGAUCAGCCACACUGGGACUGAGACACGGCCCAGACUCCUACGGGAGGCAGCAGUGGGGAAUAUUGGACAAGGGGCGAAAGCCUGAUCCAGCAAUGCCGCGUGAGUGAUGAAGGCCUUAGGGUUGUAAAGCUCUUUUACCCGGGAUGAUAAUGACAGUACCGGGAGAAUAAGCACCGGCUAACUCCGUG